RNAcentral lists this ribosomal RNA (235 nucleotides) under uncultured bacterium. Its description in RNAcentral is "partial 16S ribosomal RNA". It matches the Rfam family "Bacterial small subunit ribosomal RNA", at positions 104 to 334 of the family's 1533-position model. The record is from RNAcentral.
CGGGGUGGAGUAACGCGUGAGGAACCUGCCUCAAAGAGGGGGACAACAGUUGGAAACGACUGCUAAUACCGCAUAAGCCCACGGCUCGGCAUCGAGCAGAGGGAAAAGGAGUGAUCCGCUUUGAGAUGGCCUCGCGUCCGAUUAGCUAGUUGGUGAGGUAACGGCCCACCAAGGCAACGAUCGGUAGCCGGACUGAGAGGUUGAACGGCCACAUUGGGACUGAGACACGGCCCAG